UACGGAAGGCAGCAGUGGGGAAUAUUGCACAAUGGGCGCAAGCCUGAUGCAGCCAUGCCGCGUGUAUGAAGAAGGCCUUCGGGUUGUAAAGUACUUUCAGUCGUGAGGAAGGUGUUAAGGUUAAUAACCUUAGCAAUUGACGUUAGCGACAGAAGAAGCACCGGCUAACUCCGUGCCAGCAGCCGCGGUAAUACGGAGGGUGCGAGCGUUAAUCGGAAUUACUGGGCGUAAAGGGCACGCAGGCGGUUAAUUAAGUUGGAUGUGAAAUCCCCGGGCUUAACCUGGGAAUGGCAUUCAAGACUGGUUAGCUAGAGUCUUGUAGAGGGGGUAGAAUUCCAUGUGUAGCGGUGAAAUGCGUAGAGAUGUGGAGGAAUGCCGGUGGCGAAGGCGGCCCCUGGGACAAAGACUGACGCUCAUGUGCGAAAGCGUGGGGAGCGAAACAGGGAUUAGAUACC
Molecule: ribosomal RNA, 455 nt
Filed under: uncultured bacterium
Lineage: Bacteria
Description: bacterial SSU rRNA
Rfam family: Bacterial small subunit ribosomal RNA
Source: RNAcentral